This 941-nucleotide ribosomal RNA is filed under the name uncultured bacterium. RNAcentral's name for it is "bacterial SSU rRNA". It matches the Rfam family "Bacterial small subunit ribosomal RNA", at positions 8 to 916 of the family's 1533-position model. The record is from RNAcentral.
AGAGUUUGAUCAUGGCUCAGGACGAACGCUGGCGGCGUGCUAAUACAUGCAAGUCGAGCGAGCGGAACCAACAGAUUUACUUCGGUAAUGACGUUGGGAAAGCGAGCGGCGGAUGGGUGAGUAACACGUGGGGAACCUGCCCCUAAGUCCGGGAUACCAUUUGGAAACAGGUGCUAAUACCGGAUAAUAAAGCAGAUCGCAUGAUCAGCUUUUGAAAGGCGGCGUAAGCUGUCGCUAAGGGAUGGCCCCGCGGUGCAUUAGCUAGUUGGUAAGGUAACGGCUUACCAAGGCGACGAUGCAUAGCCGAGUUGAGAGACUGAUCGGCCACAUUGGGACUGAGACACGGCCCAAACUCCUACGGGAGGCAGCAGUAGGGAAUCUUCCACAACGGACGCAAGUCUGAUGGAGCAACGCCGCGUGAGUGGAGAAGGUUUUCGGAUCGUAAAGCUCUGUUGUUGGUGAAGAAGGAUAGAGGUAGUAACUGGCCUUUAUUUGACGGUAAUCAACCAGAAAGUCACGGCUAACUACGUGCCAGCAGCCGCGGUAAUACGUAGGUGGCAAGCGUUGUCCGGAUUUAUUGGGCGUAAAGCGAGCGCAGGCGGAAAAAUAAGUCUAAUGUGAAAGCCCUCGGCUUAACCGAGGAACUGCAUCGGAAACUGUUUUUCUUGAGUGCAGAAGAGGAGAGUGGAACUCCAUGUGUAGCGGUGGAAUGCGUAGAUAUAUGGAAGAACACCAGUGGCGAAGGCGGCUCUCUGGUCUGCAACUGACGCUGAGGCUCGAAAGCAUGGGUAGCGAACAGGAUUAGAUACCCUGGUAGUCCAUGCCGUAAACGAUGAGUGCUAAGUGUUGGGAGGUUUCCGCCUCUCAGUGCUGCAGCUAACGCAUUAAGCACUCCGCCUGGGGAGUACGACCGCAAGGUUGAAACUCAAAGGAAUUGACGG